Molecule: ribosomal RNA, 253 nt
Filed under: uncultured bacterium
Lineage: Bacteria
Description: partial 16S ribosomal RNA
Rfam family: Bacterial small subunit ribosomal RNA
Source: RNAcentral
UACCGGGGGGGCAAGCGUUGUUCGGAAUUACUGGGCGUAAAGGGUUUGUAGGUGGCUUGCUAAGUCAGACGUGAAAUCCCUCAGCUUAACUGGGGAACUGCGUCUGAGACUGGCGAGCUUGAGUGCAGGAGAGGAACGCGGAAUUCCAGGUGUAGCGGUGAAAUGCGUAGAUAUCUGGAGGAAUACCGGUGGCGAAGGCGGCAUCCUGGACCGAGAUUGACACUGAUGAGCGAAAGCUAGGGGAGCAAACGGG